RNAcentral lists this ribosomal RNA (694 nucleotides) under Candidatus Mycoplasma haematolamae. Its description in RNAcentral is "bacterial SSU rRNA". It matches the Rfam family "Bacterial small subunit ribosomal RNA", at positions 349 to 1045 of the family's 1533-position model. Lineage: Bacteria; Bacillati; Mycoplasmatota; Mollicutes; Mycoplasmatales; Mycoplasmataceae. The record is from RNAcentral.
CAGCAGUGAGGAAUUUUUCACAAUGGGCGAAAGCCUGAUGGAGCAAUACCACGUGAACGAUGAAGGUCUUCUGAUUGUAAAGUUCUUUUAUUUAGGAAAAAAAGCAGGAUAGGAAAUGAUUCUGUCGUGAUUGUACUAAUUGAAUAAGUGACAGCUAACUAUGUGCCAGCAGCUGCGGUAAAACAUAGGUCACGAGCAUUAUCCGGAUUUAUUGGGCGUAAAGGAAGCGUAGGUGGAGGAGUUGAUCCAUUGUCAAAAGCAUCUGCUUAACAGGUGUCCGCGAUGGAUAUCGCUUCUCUAGAAUUAGUUAGGGGGUACUGGAAUUCAAUGUGUAGCGGUGGAAUGCGUAGAUAUAUUGAGGAACACCAGAGGCUAAGGCGAGUACCUGGGACAUAAUUGACACUGAGGCUUGAAAGCGUGGGGAGCAAAUGGGAUUAGAUACCCCAGUAGUCCACGCCGUAAACGAUGGGUAUUAGGUAUUUGGUUUAAAACUGAGUGCUGUAGCUAACGCGUUAAAUACCCCGCCUGGGUAGUAUAUAUGCAAAUAUGAAACUCAAAGAAAUUGACGGGGACCUGAACAAGUGGUGGAGCAUGUUGCUUAAUUCGAUAAUACACGCAAAACCUUACCAAGGCUUGUAAUCUACUGCGAAACUAUAGAAAUAUAGUGGAGGGUAUCGGUAUGACAGGUGGUGCA